CAACAUGUAGCUUAACUAAAGCGUCUCGCUUACACCGAGAAGAUAUUUGUGAGACCCAAAUCAUCUUGA
Molecule: transfer RNA, 69 nt
Filed under: Ecnomiohyla rabborum (Rabbs' fringe-limbed treefrog)
Lineage: Eukaryota; Metazoa; Chordata; Amphibia; Anura; Hylidae
Description: tRNA-Val
Rfam family: tRNA
About the family: Transfer RNA (tRNA) molecules are approximately 80 nucleotides in length.
Source: RNAcentral